UCUCCCCCGCCUGCGUGCCAUUUGCCAUUGUUCUGGCACAUCCCUAAAAUGCCACUGGCCUCUUCUCAGUGUCUCUGGGUGCCAAAGCACACGGGGGGGGAUUAUGGUGCUUCAGCCCUAAUGAUGACUGUCCAAGCACUGCUCAUCCAUGGGAAAUGUGAAAUGCCCAAAUUUAGUUCAACCCCUGCACAGAGACAUUACAACAGAGCCAGUUUUGCAAUGCUCUCAUCGGAAGUUGUUUCCAUCUUCCCAGUGUCUGAGAAGGGCAAGGUCACGCUGAAUGAGCAGCAAAUCUGAGUGAAUCUGGAGUUCAUUGGGGGAUUGAUGGACUAAAAUACAAACACAUCUCAGAAGGAACCAAGGCAAAAAAUAAAAACGCUAAAUUGGGAAUUCAGGUCACCUGAGUGUCCCCUUUCCCUUCUUGUUGAUUCAGGUUUGAGAUGAUCAACCGACCCACAAGACUAACCCUGCUUGCCUGGUUCAUCCAGAAUCCUCUCCAUGACCCUCAAGGCACCACCAAACCAGUAUCCUGGCAGAUUUCUCACUGAUAUUCAGCCCAGUGCUUUCCAUAAGCCACUUUUUAUGAACAAAAAUGUAAUCAGAUGAAUUAGCAAGGAACGAGUAGAAGGGAAUAGCAUAACCCAAAAUCAGCUGUAGGGCUUUGUGUAAAGACAGCAACAAAGGAUAUUUUUCUGCAAGGAAGGAAUGAAGAAAUAAAGAAAGAAAGAAAGAAAAAUAACUCUUUUCCAUUUGUGCAUUACAGAUACCUGCUUAUUCUUCUUGUGUUCUGUGACACAAUAUGAAAAUGACAAAGAAACCUGCCUCAUCUCUAGACCUGUGCUUGAGUUUCCUGCCUUUGUAUAACGUGUUCCUUCUACCAGAAAUCACGUAUAAAUACGGUCUUAGGGAUGCACACUUAGUUUCAUGGUGGCUACCCCACCAAAGGCAGGACAUGGGAACACAGUCGUAUUGCAAAGCACAUGGGGAAAAAUAAAUAAAUAAAUAAAAAGAGCAAAACUUAGCAAUAAUCACUGGGUUUCUCCUUAACAUGUGUAAACCCUUUAAAUGCACAAGUUCUGAAUAGUUGUCAGGAAACCAAGACUUCAGUUAGGAAUAAUUGGUUAUGGUUCAUCCCCUCAGCAUCUGCUCAGUGUCAGCACUACAGCCCAUCUGCAAGCAGCAGAAGCAGCUGGAGAUGUGUGGUCAGUUCUGUGAAGGUUUGGGAGCCAGAGGCUGGGGUGCAGUACAGGUGAUUCCCACAGAGGGAGAUGUUGCUUUCUUUAUGCCUUAAGUUUUUUUUUUUUUCCAUCUAGCCCUGGGAAAACUUCCAUGUGUUCCAGUCAUUACACAGACGCUUGAACUUCACAUUCAUGUAUAUUCCUGAAUGAUGUUUUUUCUAUUGUCCGUAUGUAUAGGUUUUCUACUCCACAAAGAGCUGAAGGUGGACUGUUACAAAGUGACUUGGCAGACCAUGUUGAGCCAGCAUUUAUGACAGCCCAUGCCUGUUUUCUUAGCCCACUCUGAUUACAUUCCCCAGACAGGGACAGAGCACCCAGCCCAGCAAAGCAGUGGGGUGGCUGUUGCUCCCCAGCACUUCCUUGGGUCCUUCAGCCACUUUUGCCACAAACACACAGGGACAAUUCACACCUCAGUCUCAAUUGCAAACUGGUACCAAAUACCACCGUUUGUUGCUUUAUGCUCCUUUAUCUGCACAGAGAAGUAUAGCAGAAAUGCUAAGUCAGGGCUUGAAGCAGUGAUGGAGCACCUGGUGGGAAGGCA
Meleagris gallopavo (turkey) is the source of this 1779-nucleotide long non-coding RNA. RefSeq lists it as uncharacterized. NCBI's taxonomy places the organism in Eukaryota, Metazoa, Chordata, Aves, Galliformes, Phasianidae. The record is from RefSeq and is a predicted model, not a curated record.